CUCUUCUUGAUUUAAUAAGAGGUAUUACCUGCCCACUGAUAAUUUAAUGGCCGCGGUAUAUUGACCGUGCAAAGGUAGCAUAAUCAUUAGUCUUUUAAUUGAGGGCUGGAAUGAAUGGUUGGACGAAAUAAUAACUAUCUUAUUAUUAUUAAUUUUGAAUUUAAUUUUUGAGUAAAAAAGCUUAAAUUAUUUUUUGGGACGAGAAGACCCUAUAGAGUUUAUAUAUUUAAAAUAAUUAAUUUAAGUUAAAUAAUUAUUUAAUUAUUUACAAUAUUUGAUUGGGGCGAUUAAAAGAUAAAAAUAACUCUUUAUAUAAAAUAAUUAUUAAUUUAUAUAUAUAUUUAAAGAUAUUGAUCCAUUAUUAGUGAUUAAAAGAUUAAAUUACC
This 386-nucleotide ribosomal RNA is filed under the name cf. Rhicnoda sp. MNHN BL136. Its description in RNAcentral is "partial 16S ribosomal RNA". The record is from RNAcentral. Lineage: Eukaryota; Metazoa; Arthropoda; Insecta; Blattodea; Blaberidae.